RNAcentral lists this ribosomal RNA (680 nucleotides) under Pseudomonas sp. C101A. RNAcentral describes it as "bacterial SSU rRNA". It matches the Rfam family "Bacterial small subunit ribosomal RNA", at positions 44 to 719 of the family's 1533-position model. Lineage: Bacteria; Pseudomonadati; Pseudomonadota; Gammaproteobacteria; Pseudomonadales; Pseudomonadaceae. The record is from RNAcentral.
UACCCCCACACAUGCAAGUCGAGCGGUAGAGAGAAGCUUGCUUCUCUUGAGAGCGGCGGACGGGUGAGUAAUGCCUAGGAAUCUGCCUGGUAGUGGGGGAUAACGUUCGGAAACGGACGCUAAUACCGCAUACGUCCUACGGGAGAAAGCAGGGGACCUUCGGGCCUUGCGCUAUCAGAUGAGCCUAGGUCGGAUUAGCUAGUUGGUGGGGUAAUGGCUCACCAAGGCGACGAUCCGUAACUGGUCUGAGAGGAUGAUCAGUCACACUGGAACUGAGACACGGUCCAGACUCCUACGGGAGGCAGCAGUGGGGAAUAUUGGACAAUGGGCGAAAGCCUGAUCCAGCCAUGCCGCGUGUGUGAAGAAGGUCUUCGGAUUGUAAAGCACUUUAAGUUGGGAGGAAGGGCAGUUACCUAAUACGUGAUUGUUUUGACGUUACCGACAGAAUAAGCACCGGCUAACUCUGUGCCAGCAGCCGCGGUAAUACAGAGGGUGCAAGCGUUAAUCGGAAUUACUGGGCGUAAAGCGCGCGUAGGUGGUUUGUUAAGUUGGAUGUGAAAUCCCCGGGCUCAACCUGGGAACUGCAUUCAAAACUGACUGACUAGAGUAUGGUAGANGGUGGUGGAAUUUCCUGUGUAGCGGUGAAAUGCGUAAUAUAGGAAGGAACACCAAUGGGCGAA